UACAGAGGUCCCGAGCGUUGUUCGGAUUCAUUGGGCGUAAAGGGUGCGUAGGCGGUCUGCUAAGUUUGAUGUGAAAUUCCAGGGCUCAACCCUGGCAUGGCAUUGAAUACUGGCGGACUAGAGUACUGGAGAGGAAACUGGAAUUUACGGUGUAGCAGUGAAAUGCGUAGAGAUCGUAAGGAAGACCAGUGGCGAAGGCGAGUUUCUGGACAGUAACUGACGCUGAGGCACGAAGGCCAGGGGAGCAAACGGG
This 253-nucleotide ribosomal RNA is filed under the name uncultured bacterium. Its description in RNAcentral is "partial 16S ribosomal RNA". It matches the Rfam family "Bacterial small subunit ribosomal RNA", at positions 524 to 776 of the family's 1533-position model. The record is from RNAcentral.